Molecule: ribosomal RNA, 1176 nt
Filed under: Triticum aestivum (bread wheat)
Lineage: Eukaryota; Viridiplantae; Streptophyta; Magnoliopsida; Poales; Poaceae
Description: partial small subunit ribosomal RNA
Source: RNAcentral
AUGAUCCGCCCACUCUCUCUUCCCCUCCCCCUCCUCCGCUGUCCCGCCCCCGCACGCCUCUCGCGCCCGCCGCCUCCUCCCCCGCCUCCACCCCAAGGCACACAGGCCCCAGGGAACUGCCGUCUUCUCCGCGCGCACGGCAGGCCGCAGAGGCACCGCCGCCGCUCCUCCUCCAGCGCCAGCCUCUCCGUCUCCGGCCCGGAGAUGGAUCCCGCCGCGCGGAAGGAUCUGUACCCGCACGUCGAGCCCUUCGACACCGGCCGCCUCAGGGUCUCCGACGUCCACACCAUCUACUACGAGCAGUCCGGGAACCCCGGGGGCCACCCCGUCGUCUUCCUCCACGGCGGCCCUGGGGCCGGCACCUCGCCGGGCAACCGCAGGUUCUUCGAUCCGGAGUUCUACAGGAUCGUGCUGUUCGACCAGAGAGGCGCCGGCAAGAGCACUCCCCAUGCUUGUCUAGAGCAGAACACCACCUGGGACUUGGUGGCUGACAUUGAGAAGCUCAGGCAGCACCUCGACAUUCCAGAGUGGCAGGUGUUCGGCGGUUCAUGGGGAAGCACCUUGGCCCUCGCCUACAGCCAGACUCACCCUGAUAAGGUCACUGGCAUUGUUUUAAGAGGCAUUUUCUUGCUUAGGAAAAAGGAGCUUGACUGGUUCUACGAGGGCGGCGCAGCAGCUGUUUUCCCAGAUGCAUGGGAGCCAUUUAGAGAUUUUAUUCCUGAGGACGAAAGGAAUUGUUUCAUAGCUGCUUACAGCAAAAGGCUAACUUCCUCUGACGCUGAUGUCCAGAUUGAAGCUGCUAAGAGAUGGACAACAUGGGAGAUGAUGACUGCACAUCUUCUUCAAAAUCAUGAGAACAUCAAACGAGGAGAGGACGACAAAUUUUCAUUGGCAUUUGCAAGGAUUGAAAACCACUACUUCAUUAACAAGGGAUUCUUAGACUCGGACUCUCACUUAUUGGACAACGUCGACAAAAUUCGUCACAUUAAAUCUUUCAUUGUACAGGGGCGGUAUGAUAUGUGCUGUCCUAUGAUGUCUGCUUGGGAUCUUCAUAAAGCUUGGCCUGAAGCUGAGUUUAAGGUGGUUCCAGAUGCAGGACACUCGGCCAAUGAAGUUGGCGUUGCGGCUGAACUGGUAUCAGCUAACGAAAAGCUUAAAGGCAUGUUGAAAAAAUGA